Molecule: unclassified non-coding RNA, 248 nt
Filed under: uncultured fungus
Lineage: Eukaryota; Fungi
Description: partial contains 5.8S ribosomal RNA, internal transcribed spacer 2, and large subunit ribosomal RNA
Source: RNAcentral
AACGCAUAUUGCGCCCCUUGGUAUUCCAUAGGGCAUGCCUGUUCGAGCGUCAUCUACACCUUCAAGCGCUGCUUGGUGUUGGGCGUCUGUCCUCGUGGACUCGCCUGAAAGGCAUUGGCAGCGGUUCUGAUGGGCCUUCCAAUCGCGCAGCACUGUUCGCGCCCCGGAGCCCACGCAGAUUCGGCACCCAUCAAGCCCAAUCUUCUGAACUUGACCUCGGAUCAGGCAGGGAUACCCGCUGAACUUAA